CCGGCGAUGUCCGAAUGGGGAAACCCAGUGCAAUUCGUUGCACUAUCGUUAACUGAAUACAUAGGUUAACGAGGCGAACCGGGGGAACUGAAACAUCUAAGUACCCCGAGGAAAAGAAAUCAACCGAGAUUCCCCCAGUAGCGGCGAGCGAACGGGGAGCAGCCCAGAGUCUGAAUCAGCUUGUGUGUUAGUGGAACGGUCUGGAAAGUCCGACGGUACAGGGUGAUAGUCCCGUACACCAAAAUGCACAGGCUGUGAACUCGAAGAGUAGGGCGGGACACGUGGUAUCCUGUCUGAAUAUGGGGGGACCAUCCUCCAAGGCUAAAUACUCCUGACUGACCGAUAGUGAACCAGUACCGUGAGGGAAAGGCGAAAAGAACCCCGGCGAGGGGAGUGAAAAAGAACCUGAAACCGUGUACGUACAAGCAGUGGGAGCACCUUCGGGUGUGACUGCGUACCUUUUGUAUAAUGGGUCAGCGACUUAUAUUCUGUAGCAAGGUUAACCGUAUAGGGGAGCCGCAGGGAAACCGAGUCUUAACUGGGCGUUAAGUUGCAGGGUAUAGACCCGAAACCCGGUGAUCUAGCCAUGGGCAGGUUGAAGGUUGGGUAACACUAACUGGAGGACCGAACCGACUAAUGUUGAAAAAUUAGCGGAUGACUUGUGGCUGGGGGUGAAAGGCCAAUCAAACCGGGAGAUAGCUGGUUCUCCCCGAAAGCUAUUUAGGUAGCGCCUCGUGAAUUCAUCUUCGGGGGUAGAGCACUGUUUCGGCUAGGGGGUCAUCCCGACUUACCAACCCGAUGCAAACUACGAAUACCGAAGAAUGUUAUCACGGGAGACACACGGCGGGUGCUAACGUCCGUCGUGAAGAGGGAAACAACCCAGACCGCCAGCUAAGGUCCCAAAGUCAUGGUUAAGUGGGAAACGAUGUGGGAAGGCACAGACAGCCAGGAUGUUGGCUUAGAAGCAGCCAUCAUUUAAAGAAAGCGUAAUAGCUCACUGGUCGAGUCGGCCUGCGCGGAAGAUGUAACGGGGCUAAACCAUGCACCGAAGCUGCGGCAGCGACACUAUGUGUUGUUGGGUAGGGGAGCGUUCUGUAAGCCUGCGAAGGUGACCUGUGAGGGUUGCUGGAGGUAUCAGAAGUGCGAAUGCUGACAUAAGUAACGAUAAAGCGGGUGAAAAGCCCGCUCGCCGGAAGACCAAGGGUUCCUGUCCAACGUUAAUCGGGGCAGGGUGAGUCGACCCCUAAGGCGAGGCCGAAAGGCGUAGUCGAUGGGAAACAGGUUAAUAUUCCUGUACUUGGUGUUACUGCGAAGGGGGGACGGAGAAGGCUAUGUUAGCCGGGCGACGGUUGUCCCGGUUUAAGCAUGUAGG
Molecule: ribosomal RNA, 1372 nt
Filed under: Klebsiella pneumoniae
Lineage: Bacteria; Pseudomonadati; Pseudomonadota; Gammaproteobacteria; Enterobacterales; Enterobacteriaceae
Description: partial 23S ribosomal RNA
Rfam family: Bacterial large subunit ribosomal RNA
Source: RNAcentral